UCUAGUAUGGCAGAUUAGUGCAAUGAAAUUAAAAUUCAUAUAUAAAAUUUUUUUUUUAUUAAAA
This 64-nucleotide transfer RNA is filed under the name Cryptotympana atrata. RNAcentral's name for it is "tRNA-Leu". Lineage: Eukaryota; Metazoa; Arthropoda; Insecta; Hemiptera; Cicadidae. The record is from RNAcentral.